This 253-nucleotide ribosomal RNA is filed under the name uncultured bacterium. Its description in RNAcentral is "partial 16S ribosomal RNA". It matches the Rfam family "Bacterial small subunit ribosomal RNA", at positions 524 to 776 of the family's 1533-position model. The record is from RNAcentral.
UACGUAGGGUGCAAGCGUUGUUCGGAAUUACUGGGCGUAAAGCGCGCGUAGGCGGGCUUGUAAGUCGAUUGUGAAAGCCCUGGGCUUAACCCGGGAAUGGCAGUCGAAACUACAAGUCUUGAGUGCCUGAGAGGAUGGCGGAAUUCCCGGUGUAGAAGUGAAAUUCGUAGAUAUCGGGAAGAACACCUGAGGCGAAGGCGGCUAUCUGGCGGUGCACUGACGCUAAGGCGCGAAAGCGUGGGGAGCAAACAGG